AGUGAACGCUGGCGGUAGGCCUAACACAUGCAAGUCGAACGGCAGCACAGUAAGAGCUUGCUCUUACGGGUGGCGAGUCGCGGACGGGUGUUUAAUACAUCGUACUCUAUUUUUUCGUGGGGGAUCACGUAGGGACACUUACGCUAAUACCGCAUACGGCCUACGGGUGAAAGCAGGGGAUUUUCGAGCCUUGCCCUAUUGAAUGAGCCGAUGUCGGAGUAGCUAGUUGGCGGGGUAAAGGCCCACCAAGGCGACGAUCCGUAGCUGGUCUGAGAGGAUGAUCAGCCACACUGGAACUGAGACACGGUCCAUACUCCUACGGGAGGCAGCAGUCGUGAAUAGUGGACAAUGGGCGCAAGCCUGAUCCAGCCAUACCGCGUGGGUGAAGAAGGCCUUCGGGUUGUAAAGCACUUUUGUCGGGAAAGAAAAGCAGCAGGUUAAUACCCAGCUGUUCUGACGGUACCCAAAGGAUAAGCACCGGCUAACUUCGUG
RNAcentral lists this ribosomal RNA (492 nucleotides) under uncultured bacterium. Its description in RNAcentral is "partial 16S ribosomal RNA". It matches the Rfam family "Bacterial small subunit ribosomal RNA", at positions 29 to 507 of the family's 1533-position model. The record is from RNAcentral.